UUUGCCGUUUAAACAAAGUGGAAUGAAACGCACGCACACAAGUCCAAAUCUACACAAAACACGCAAUCAAUUAGUAAGCUCACAGCGAAUAUAUAUAUAUGGCAUUUAGGAAACCUUUAUUGCAACGUUGGCACGGCAAUAUGUCCAGACUAGUACAACAUUAAUUUUCAUCUUUUAC
Long non-coding RNA from Etheostoma spectabile (orangethroat darter), 178 nucleotides. RefSeq lists it as uncharacterized. The transcript has 3 exons. Lineage: Eukaryota; Metazoa; Chordata; Actinopteri; Perciformes; Percidae. The record is from RefSeq and is a predicted model, not a curated record.